Molecule: unclassified non-coding RNA, 323 nt
Filed under: soil metagenome
Description: partial contains 5.8S ribosomal RNA, internal transcribed spacer 2, and large subunit ribosomal RNA
Rfam family: 5.8S ribosomal RNA (bases 1-120)
Source: RNAcentral
GAUGAAGAACGUAGCGAAAUGCGAUAAGUAAUGCGAAUUGCAGAAUUCAGUGAGUCAUCGAAUCUUUGAACGCACAUUGCGCCCUGUGGUAUUCCGCAGGGCAUGCCUGUUCGAGCGUCAUUUCAACCCUCAAGCCUCGCUUGUGUUGGGCCCUGCCCGCCGCGGCCGGCCCUAAAGAUAGUGGCGGCGCCGCCUGGCCCUCAGCGUAGUACAGCUCUCGCUCCAGGGUCCGGCGGCAGCCUGCCAGAACCCCCCAACUCUGUGGUUGACCUCGGAUCAGGUAGGGAUACCCGCUGAACUUAAGCAUAUCAAUAAGCGGAGGA